CCUCGGCAUAUCUCAUGAUCAACCAUUUGGUGAGUACCAUCGAUAGGAGCAAAGAGAAGGAGAUAAAAAACAAACUGAUGGGCAGAACAAAUGAUAAUGUAAUCAAAAGUGCAUGUUCAUUGCGAACCUAAGCUUAUCUUCCUAAUUCUGCGAUUAAAUUAAUUUUGAAUUCGUCUUAGAAGACUAUUAGUAUAAGUGCUAGCUGUUAGAAUCCUCGUGAAGCAGUUGAUAUCGGUUUACCUCUAUCAUUGGACCUGAUAGUCCAAUUAUCAAUUAUCUAUCCUGCUCGAUCCCGUACUUGUGUACAUUAGCCCAAUAUUCAAUAGAACGGUCCUAUUAGAACAUGAAUGCAACAUAACCCAUCCAGUGCACCCCAUCGGUAAGAACAUCCUAGCUGAUCUUUAGCUUUAGUUAAUUACUAAGCAAUUACACUACUUAUUAGAUCCCUAAUUGAAUGGUUAAUACGCACGCGACUAAAACAUCAUCCAACGAUUAAGCGAAGGGACUAAACGUAAGUAGUUAAAAUUGUAGUAGUUUUGUAUCCCAAACUCACAUCCAUAUCACGAUCAGGGGUUCGCAAAACAAUGCGUACGGAGCCAAUUAAGAUUUUAUCGAACUGGUGAUAUCGAUUGAGUCCAUUAAUACGAGAAACUAUUAGGUAUGAAGUUAAUAAGAGCUCAAAUGUUGUCCAACAGGAAAUUAUAUUCUCCCAAUAUCGAACUACUGGCGUUUCAUUUGCCUGCAACCGGAGAAUCAUAUUUCGGAAAUCGUUCCCGUUGAAACCGUGUUUCAACACACA
Aedes albopictus (Asian tiger mosquito) is the source of this 799-nucleotide long non-coding RNA. RefSeq lists it as uncharacterized. The record is from RefSeq and is a predicted model, not a curated record. The transcript is spliced from 3 exons. NCBI's taxonomy places the organism in Eukaryota, Metazoa, Arthropoda, Insecta, Diptera, Culicidae.